CGCGAAACAUAAGAUAUGGCACACCAGUUGGUGUUAUCGAAACGAUAUGUCUGUCCACCAAAGUUCAAAUGAAGUAGAUGAAGUCAAAAAUAAGGCUUUCAACAAGAAGCGCCAUUUCUUUUUAAAAUAUAGAUAUGAUAUACAGGUUUUGUACCUUCUUUACUAUAUAAAUAUUUGUAUAGAAUGGACACUAAAACUGAC
This 201-nucleotide long non-coding RNA is filed under the name Mytilus galloprovincialis (Mediterranean mussel). Lineage: Eukaryota; Metazoa; Mollusca; Bivalvia; Mytilida; Mytilidae. The record is from RNAcentral.